RNAcentral lists this ribosomal RNA (385 nucleotides) under uncultured bacterium. Its description in RNAcentral is "bacterial SSU rRNA". It matches the Rfam family "Bacterial small subunit ribosomal RNA", at positions 975 to 1375 of the family's 1533-position model. The record is from RNAcentral.
CAAGACUUGACAUGGACUUGCACCAGCCGUAAUGGGCUGUUCCUUCGGGACAGGUUCACAGGUGCUGCAUGGCUGUCGUCAGCUCGUGUCGUGAGAUGUUGGGUUAAGUCCCGCAACGAGCGCAACCCCCAUCGUCGGUUAUCGGUGUCCGGCGAGACUGCCACGAUCAACGUGGAGGAAGGUGGGGAUGACGUCAAGUCAGCACGGCCCUUACGUCCUGGGCAACACACACGCUACAAUGGUCAGGACAAAGAGUUGCGAACUCGCGAGGGGAAGCUAAUCUCAUCAAACCUGACCUCAGUUCAGAUUGCAGGCUGCAACCCGCCUGCAUGAAGUCGGAGUUGCUAGUAACCGUAGGUCAGCACACUACGGUGAAUACGUUCCC